RNAcentral lists this ribosomal RNA (1278 nucleotides) under Pseudomonas aeruginosa. RNAcentral's name for it is "partial 16S ribosomal RNA". It matches the Rfam family "Bacterial small subunit ribosomal RNA", at positions 262 to 1533 of the family's 1533-position model. RNAcentral also lists the same sequence under 1 other name. The record is from RNAcentral. Lineage: Bacteria; Pseudomonadati; Pseudomonadota; Gammaproteobacteria; Pseudomonadales; Pseudomonadaceae.
GGCUCACCUAGGCGACGAUCCCUAGCUGGUCUGAGAGGAUGACCAGCCACACUGGAACUGAGACACGGUCCAGACUCCUACGGGAGGCAGCAGUGGGGAAUAUUGCACAAUGGGCGCAAGCCUGAUGCAGCCAUGCCGCGUGUGUGAAGAAGGCCUUCGGGUUGUAAAGCACUUUCAGCGGGGAGGAAGGCGGUGAGGUUAAUAACCUCAUCGAUUGACGUUACCCGCAGAAGAAGCACCGGCUAACUCCGUGCCAGCAGCCGCGGUAAUACGGAGGGUGCAAGCGUUAAUCGGAAUUACUGGGCGUAAAGCGCACGCAGGCGGUCUGUCAAGUCGGAUGUGAAAUCCCCGGGCUCAACCUGGGAACUGCAUUCGAAACUGGCAGGCUAGAGUCUUGUAGAGGGGGGUAGAAUUCCAGGUGUAGCGGUGAAAUGCGUAGAGAUCUGGAGGAAUACCGGUGGCGAAGGCGGCCCCCUGGACAAAGACUGACGCUCAGGUGCGAAAGCGUGGGGAGCAAACAGGAUUAGAUACCCUGGUAGUCCACGCCGUAAACGAUGUCGAUUUGGAGGUUGUGCCCUUGAGGCGUGGCUUCCGGAGCUAACGCGUUAAAUCGACCGCCUGGGGAGUACGGCCGCAAGGUUAAAACUCAAAUGAAUUGACGGGGGCCCGCACAAGCGGUGGAGCAUGUGGUUUAAUUCGAUGCAACGCGAAGAACCUUACCUGGUCUUGACAUCCACAGAACUUUCCAGAGAUGGAUUGGUGCCUUCGGGAACUGUGAGACAGGUGCUGCAUGGCUGUCGUCAGCUCGUGUUGUGAAAUGUUGGGUUAAGUCCCGCAACGAGCGCAACCCUUAUCCUUUGUUGCCAGCGGUUAGGCCGGGAACUCAAAGGAGACUGCCAGUGAUAAACUGGAGGAAGGUGGGGAUGACGUCAAGUCAUCAUGGCCCUUACGACCAGGGCUACACACGUGCUACAAUGGCAUAUACAAAGAGAAGCGACCUCGCGAGAGCAAGCGGACCUCAUAAAGUAUGUCGUAGUCCGGAUUGGAGUCUGCAACUCGACUCCAUGAAGUCGGAAUCGCUAGUAAUCGUAGAUCAGAAUGCUACGGUGAAUACGUUCCCGGGCCUUGUACACACCGCCCGUCACACCAUGGGAGUGGGUUGCAAAAGAAGUAGGUAGCUUAACCUUCGGGAGGGCGCUUACCACUUUGUGAUUCAUGACUGGGGUGAAGUCGUAACAAGGUAACCGUAGGGGAACCUGCGGUUGGAUCACCUCCUUA